UAAGCAGAAGCCAUUUUUGGCAUCUAACUGUUAAUUAGAAGCUAGUCUUCCAGACCUGCUUAG
Molecule: transfer RNA, 63 nt
Filed under: Tevnia jerichonana
Lineage: Eukaryota; Metazoa; Annelida; Polychaeta; Sabellida; Siboglinidae
Description: tRNA-Asn
Source: RNAcentral